Molecule: ribosomal RNA, 520 nt
Filed under: uncultured Diversispora
Lineage: Eukaryota; Fungi; Glomeromycota; Glomeromycetes; Diversisporales; Diversisporaceae
Description: SSU rRNA
Rfam family: Eukaryotic small subunit ribosomal RNA
Source: RNAcentral
AGCAGCCGCGGUAAUUCCAGCUCCAAUAGCGUAUAUUAAAGUUGUUGCAGUUAAAAAGCUCGUAGUUGAACUUCGGGGUUUACUCAUUGGUCAGGCUUAAUUGUCUGUACCGGUGAGAUAAAUCUCUACCUUCUGAGGAACUUUCAUGUCAUUUAUUUGGUGUGAUUGGAAAUCAGGACUGUUACUUUGAAAAAAUUGAGUGUUUAAAGCAGGCUAACGUCUGAAUACAUUAGCAUGGAAUAAUGAAAUAGGACGGAUUGAUUCUAUUUCGUUGGUUUCUAGGGUCACCGUAAUGAUUAAUAGGGAUAGUUGGGGGCAUUAGUAUUCAAUUGUCAGAGGUGAAAUUCCUGGACUUAUUGAAGACUAACUACUGCGAAAGCAUUUGCCAAGGAUGUUUUCAUUAAUCAAAGAACGAAAGUUAGGGAUCGAAGACGAUCAGACUACCGUCGUAGUACUUAACCAUAAACUAUGACCGACUAGGGAUCGGACGCAGUUAAUUUAUAUGACGUGUUACGGCACC